RNAcentral lists this ribosomal RNA (509 nucleotides) under Escherichia coli. RNAcentral describes it as "bacterial SSU rRNA". It matches the Rfam family "Bacterial small subunit ribosomal RNA", at positions 1034 to 1533 of the family's 1533-position model. The record is from RNAcentral. Lineage: Bacteria; Pseudomonadati; Pseudomonadota; Gammaproteobacteria; Enterobacterales; Enterobacteriaceae.
ACAGGUGCUGCAUGGCUGUCGUCAGCUCGUGUUGUGAAAUGUUGGGUUAAGUCCCGCAACGAGCGCAACCCUUAUCCUUUGUUGCCAGCGGUCCGGCCGGGAACUCAAAGGAGACUGCCAGUGAUAAACUGGAGGAAGGUGGGGAUGACGUCAAGUCAUCAUGGCCCUUACGACCAGGGCUACACACGUGCUACAAUGGCGCAUACAAAGAGAAGCGACCUCGCGAGAGCAAGCGGACCUCAUAAAGUGCGUCGUAGUCCGGAUUGGAGUCUGCAACUCGACUCCAUGAAGUCGGAAUCGCUAGUAAUCGUGGAUCAGAAUGCCACGGUGAAUACGUUCCCGGGCCUUGUACACACCGCCCGUCACACCAUGGGAGUGGGUUGCAAAAGAAGUAGGUAGCUUAACCUUCGGGAGGGCGCUUACCACUUUGUGAUUCAUGACUGGGGUGAAGUCGUAACAAGGUAACCGUAGGGGAACCUGCGGUUGGAUCACCUCCUUACCUUAAAGAA